This 940-nucleotide long non-coding RNA is filed under the name Drosophila guanche. Lineage: Eukaryota; Metazoa; Arthropoda; Insecta; Diptera; Drosophilidae. The record is from RNAcentral.
UCGCCAUAGUAUAGUAAACUUUACAUAUCUUUGUCCUCAACACUGCUAUUCAUGAGCCGAGUACAGAAAUCGUCCUGAAAUGCAAUUUUUUGCUGAGUAUCUUGUUUCACUUCUUUAUCACUGGUGCGUACCGCUAAGAGUACCAGUUAUCUUGAGUAAACAGAGAAAUAAGAGGGAGUACCACUCAACACAGUUAGCGAGUCAGGAAUGUACCUAAAAGGUUUGAGAAUCGUUAACCACAAUCAUUAUAUAAGCGACAGCAGUUUGCACUAUCAUAUUCUUGCAUCGCAAUCGUUAUUGCAAUGGUUCAGAAGGUCAAUCAGUGAAUUAGUAAAAAAUGCAUCCAAAUAAAGUACUCUUCUUAGUCUCUGCCCUAUUGUUCGAAAGGGCAGCCGGUUGUGAAUCGAACGAGGGAUCGAACGGAGGUUGGGGAAGUGGAUGGGGAGGAUGGAAAGGUGGAUGGGGAAGUGGAUGGAAGGGCGGAUGGGGUACUGGAUCGAAAGGUGGAUCAAAAGGUGGCUCAAAAGGUGGAUCAAUAUAUAAUGUUGCUCCACACUGUCCCAAUUUAGACUUUGGAUGGCGUGCAGAUGAGUGUGACCGGAUGAACUUCUCAAUGGACCUAUUGGCUGUAGAUUGGAUAGAAUCCGAGACUUACGGUGUUACUGUUAAGGUACAGGGUGCUGAAAGCAUUGACUGGAAGUACCUCUCCUCCUUGAAACUGACAGGUAUUGACGGUCCUCAGAGUUGUGUAGAGGUUACAAAAUCGAACAAAGACUGUUCGAUUAAUUCUGCAACCGAAUUCACCGUUUCAUUCCCAGUUUACGCUCAGAAGAUUGAAAAUGAACCUUGUCAGGUUUUGAUGCCAUCAUUUCAAAUCGAAUACGAAUUUUUAAAGGGUGAGGCUCAGCAAUACAGUGAAGGCUGGAAAUGGGGCGAAACU